CGGGGUGCACCAGGCGCGAAAACUCUACAAUGCAGGCAACUGCGAUAGGGGAACAUCGAGUGAUCCUCAUAUUGGGGGUCUGUCCACCCGCCUAAAAAGCGGGUGUUAGCAAGGGCCGGGCAAGACCGGUGCCAGCCGCCGCGGUAAUACCGGCGGCUCGAGUGGUGGCCGAUAUUAUUGAGUCUAAAGGGUCCGUAGCCGGCUUUGCAAGUCUCUCGGGAAAUCCAGCGGCUUAACCGUUGGUCGUCCGGGGGGUACUACAUUGCUUGGGACUGGGAGAGGUAGGAGGUACUCAGGGGGUAGGAGUGAAAUCCUGUAAUCCUUUGGGGACCACCGGUGGCGAAGGCGUCCUACCAGAACAGGUCCGACGGUGAGGGACGAAAGCUAGGGGCACGAACCGGAUUAGAUACCCGGGUAGUCCUAGCCGUAAACGAUGCUCGCUAGGUGUCACAACAGUCGUGAACUGUUGUGGUGCCGUAGGGAAGCCGUGAAGCGAGCCACUUGGGAAGUACGACCGCAAGGUUAAACUUAAAGGAAUUGGCGGGGGAGCACAAGGGCGAAUNGC
RNAcentral lists this ribosomal RNA (565 nucleotides) under uncultured archaeon. Its description in RNAcentral is "bacterial SSU rRNA". It matches the Rfam family "Archaeal small subunit ribosomal RNA", at positions 326 to 894 of the family's 1478-position model. The record is from RNAcentral.